GACGAACCGAGCGAACGUUGUUCGGAAUCACUGGGCUUAAAGGGCGCGUAGGCGGGCUGGAAAGUCCGUGGUGAAAUCCCCCGGCCCAACCGGGGAACGGCCUCGGAUACUUUCGGCCUGGAGGGGGGUAGGGGCACGCGGAACCGUGGGUGGAGCGGUGAAAUGCGUUGAUAUCCACGGGAACUCCGGUGGCGAAGGCGGCGUGCUGGACCCCACCUGACGCUGAGGCGCGAAAGCCAGGGGAGCGAACGGG
This 253-nucleotide ribosomal RNA is filed under the name uncultured prokaryote. RNAcentral describes it as "partial 16S ribosomal RNA". It matches the Rfam family "Bacterial small subunit ribosomal RNA", at positions 524 to 776 of the family's 1533-position model. The record is from RNAcentral.